Molecule: long non-coding RNA, 155 nt
Organism: Monopterus albus (swamp eel)
Lineage: Eukaryota; Metazoa; Chordata; Actinopteri; Synbranchiformes; Synbranchidae
Exons: 3
Source: RefSeq, a predicted model, not a curated record
UCCAAAGGAAAAGGUCAAAGAAGCUCCUAUCAAGAAAGAGGCUGCUGCACCAAAGGAAAAGGCCAAACCAGUCAUCUUGCACAAAGAACAAGAAGGCCCUGGCAGAAAUGUCUCUCUGGUGAAAGAGAGAGUCAAAGUAGUGCCUAUGAGGAGAG